This 217-nucleotide ribosomal RNA is filed under the name uncultured bacterium. RNAcentral describes it as "partial 16S ribosomal RNA". It matches the Rfam family "Bacterial small subunit ribosomal RNA", at positions 122 to 334 of the family's 1533-position model. The record is from RNAcentral.
UAACCUGCCUAUUAGAGGGGGGUAACUAUUGGAAACGAUAGCUAAUACCGCAUAACAGUAUGUAACACAUGUUAGAUGCUUGAAAGAUGCAAUUGCAUCGCUAGUAGAUGGACCUGCGUUGUAUUAGCUAGUAGGUAGGGUAAAGGCCUACCUAGGCAACGAUACAUAGCCGACCUGAGAGGGUGAUCGGCCACACUGGGACUGAGACACGGCCCAG